Molecule: ribosomal RNA, 566 nt
Filed under: uncultured bacterium
Lineage: Bacteria
Description: bacterial SSU rRNA
Rfam family: Bacterial small subunit ribosomal RNA
Source: RNAcentral
CCUACGGGAGGCAGCAGUGGGGAAUAUUGCGCAAUGGGCGAAAGCCUGACGCAGCAACGCCGCGUGGGGGAUGAAGGCCUUCGGGUUGUAAACCUCUUUCAGCAGGGAAGAAGCGAAAGUGACGGUACCUGCAGAAGAAGCACCGGCUAACUACGUGCCAGCAGCCGCGGUAAUACGUAGGGUGCAAGCGUUGUCCGGAUUUAUUGGGCGUAAAGAGCUCGUAGGCGGUUAGUCACGUCGGAUGUGAAAUCCCGGAGCUUAACUCCGGGCCUGCAUUCGAUACGGGCUGACUCGAGUGUUGUAGGGGAGACUGGAACUCCUGGUGUAGCGGUGAAAUGCGCAGAUAUCAGGAAGAACACCGGUGGCGAAGGCGGGUCUCUGGGCAACUACUGACGCUGAGGAGCGAAAGCGUGGGGAGCAAACAGGAUUAGAUACCCUGGUAGUCCACGCCGUAAACGGUGGGCGCUAGGUGUGGGGAACAUUCCACGUUCUCUGCGCCGCAGCUAACGCAUUAAGCGCCCCGCCUGGGGAGUACGGCCGCAAGGCUAAAACUUAUGAAUUGACGG